RNAcentral lists this unclassified non-coding RNA (291 nucleotides) under air metagenome. Its description in RNAcentral is "partial contains small subunit ribosomal RNA, internal transcribed spacer 1, and 5.8S ribosomal RNA". The stretch from base 1 to 46 matches the Rfam family "Eukaryotic small subunit ribosomal RNA", at positions 1786 to 1831 of the family's 1831-position model. The record is from RNAcentral.
AAGUCGUAACAAGGUUUCCGUAGGUGAACCUGCGGAAGGAUCAUUAUCGAGUUUUUGAACAGGUUGUAGCUGGCCUCUUCACCGAGGUAAUCGUGCACGCCUGGCUCAUUCCACUCUUCAACCUCUGUGCACCUUGUGUAGGAGAUGACCGAGGGGGCCUUCGAAAGUUGGUCUUCAGAGUCUCACCUACGUUUUUUUAUUAAUAUAAACGCUUCAGUCAAUGAAUGUAAUCUCUGCGAAUAAAAAAAACGCAUCUAUAUACAACUUUCAGCAACGGAUCUCUUGGCUCUC